Long non-coding RNA from Acanthopagrus latus (yellowfin seabream), 500 nucleotides. RefSeq lists it as uncharacterized. NCBI's taxonomy places the organism in Eukaryota, Metazoa, Chordata, Actinopteri, Spariformes, Sparidae. The transcript has 3 exons. The record is from RefSeq and is a predicted model, not a curated record.
GGACUAUUUUGAGGGAAGAAGUUGGUUAUUUUUCAAGGAUGUUGCAUUCAAAAACCUGCAUACAGCUGUGGAGGCAGAGGUGCAUGAUGCCAAAGAACAGACAGAACUGGGGACCCUCGGGUCACAUCCUUUUUCGCAAAACCUACCAGCAGCCGGCCACAUAAAGCUCGCCUGAGUGCCCAUCACACCGGGGAUCAAAGCCACAGCCCUGCCUUCCUCUUGAAACUCGGUUGUUCUCUUGUUGUGAUAAAUGGCCACAUUAUUCAAAUGAAGACGAAUGAUGAACAACAACAAGAAGUGACAGUCAAACUGUGUUCAGAUCAUUUGGCGAAGUGAACACUGCUAGAUUUAGAGCGUCGCCUGCUUCUCUCCUGCGUCUUUCAGAAACAGCUUCACUUGAAUAGAUUGCAGAGACUACGGCCGAUGACCAACGACCGUGUUUGUUCAGCGCCUGCGUGAGAGGAAAUACAUCCCCCAUACCACCACCAGGUGGCGAUAGU